RNAcentral lists this ribosomal RNA (464 nucleotides) under uncultured bacterium. Its description in RNAcentral is "partial 16S ribosomal RNA". It matches the Rfam family "Bacterial small subunit ribosomal RNA", at positions 28 to 507 of the family's 1533-position model. The record is from RNAcentral.
GACGAACGCUGGCGGCGUGCUUAACACAUGCAAGUCGAACGGAAAGGCCCCUUUGGGGGUACUCGAGUGGCGAACGGGUGAGUAACACGUGAGUAACCUGCCCUUGACUUCGGGAUAACUUCAGGAAACUGGGGCUAAUACCGGAUAGGAAUCCUUGCUGCAUGGUGGGGGUUGGAAAGCUUCGGCGGUUUUGGAUGGACUCGCGGCUUAUCAGCUUGUUGGUGGGGUAGUGGCUUACCAAGGCUUUGACGGGUAGCCGGCCUGAGAGGGCGACCGGCCACAUUGGGACUGAGAUACGGCCCAGACUCCUCGGGAGGCAGCAGUGGGGAAUAUUGCACAAUGGGCGGAAGCCUGAUGCAGCAACGCCGCGUGCGGGAUGACGGCCUUCGGGUUGUAAACCGCUUUCAGCAGGGGCGAAGCUUGUGGUGACGGUACCUGCAGAAGAAGCACCGGCUAACUACGUG